AUGGCCUGGACUCCUGUCCCCCUCAUGCUCCUCUCUCACUACACAGGCUCCCUGUCCCAGCCCGUGCUGACCCAGCCACCCUCCCUCUCUGCAGCUCCUGGAACAACAGACAGAGUCACCUGCACCCUGAGCAGCGGCUUCAGUGUUGGCGGCUCUAACAUCUACUGGUACCAGCAGCAGCCAGGGAGCCCUCCCCGGUAUCUCUUGUACUACAAGUCAGAUAAGUACCAAGGCCCUGGGGUCCCCAGCCGCUUCUCUGGAUCCAGAGAUGCCUCGGCCAAUGCAGCAGCUCAUCUCUGGGCUGCAGGCUGAGGACGAUGCUGCCCGUUACU
Callorhinus ursinus (northern fur seal) is the source of this 332-nucleotide non-coding RNA. The record is from the annotation of a RefSeq genome assembly. NCBI's taxonomy places the organism in Eukaryota, Metazoa, Chordata, Mammalia, Carnivora, Otariidae.